AGCAAGUCGACGGUAGCACAGAGAGCUUGCUCUCGGGUGACGAGUGGCGGACGGGUGAGUAAUGUCUGGGAAACUGCCUGAUGGAGGGGGAUAACUACUGGAAACGGUAGCUAAUACCGCAUAACGUCGCAAGACCAAAGAGGGGGACCUUCGGGCCUCUUGCCAUCAGAUGUGCCCAGAUGGGAUUAGCUAGUAGGUGGGGUAACGGCUCACCUAGGCGACGAUCCCUAGCUGGUCUGAGAGGAUGACCAGCCACACUGGAACUGAGACACGGUCCAGACUCCUACGGGAGGCAGCAGUGGGGAAUAUUGCACAAUGGGCGCAAGCCUGAUGCAGCCAUGCCGCGUGUAUGAAGAAGGCCUUCGGGUUGUAAAGUACUUUCAGCGGGGAGGAAGGCGGUGAGGUUAAUAACCUCAUCGAUUGACGUUACCCGCAGAAGAAGCACCGGCUAACUCCGUGCCAGCAGCCGCGGUAAUACGGAGGGUGCAAGCGUUAAUCGGAAUUACUGGGCGUAAAGCGCACGCAGGCGGUCUGUCAGUCGGAUGUGAAAUCCCCGGGCUCAACCUGGGAACUGCAUUCGAAACUGGCAGGCUAGAGUCUUGUAGAGGGGGGUAGAAUUCCAGGUGUAGCGGUGAAAUGCGUAGAGAUCUGGAGGAAUACCGGUGGCGA
This 669-nucleotide ribosomal RNA is filed under the name bacterium. RNAcentral's name for it is "bacterial SSU rRNA". It matches the Rfam family "Bacterial small subunit ribosomal RNA", at positions 56 to 718 of the family's 1533-position model. The record is from RNAcentral.